This 418-nucleotide ribosomal RNA is filed under the name uncultured bacterium. RNAcentral describes it as "bacterial SSU rRNA". It matches the Rfam family "Bacterial small subunit ribosomal RNA", at positions 917 to 1333 of the family's 1533-position model. The record is from RNAcentral.
GGACCCGCACAAGUAGUGGAGCAUGUGGUUUAAUUCGAAGAUACGCGCAGAACCUUACCAACACUUGACAUGUUCGUCGCGACUUUAAGAGAUUAAAGUUUUCGGUUCGGCCGGACGAAACACAGGUGCUGCAUGGCUGUCGUCAGCUCGUGUCGUGAGAUGUUGGGUUAAGUCCCGCAACGAGCGCAACCCUCACUUUUAGUUGCCAUCAUUUAGUUGGGCACUCUGAAAGAACUGCCAGUGAUAAGCUGGAGGAAGGUGGGGAUGACGUCAAGUCCUCAUGGCCCUUACGUGUUGGGCUACACACGUGCUACAAUGGUAUCUACAACAGGAAGCAAGACUGCGAAGUUAAGCAAAUCCUUAAAAGAUACCUCAGUUCGGAUUGCACUCUGCAACUCGAGUGCAUGAAGUUGGAAUC